RNAcentral lists this ribosomal RNA (474 nucleotides) under uncultured bacterium. RNAcentral describes it as "SSU rRNA". It matches the Rfam family "Bacterial small subunit ribosomal RNA", at positions 26 to 521 of the family's 1533-position model. The record is from RNAcentral.
AGGACGAACGCUGGCGGCGCGCCUAACACAUGCAAGUCGAGCGAUAACCAGGGCUUGCCCUGGGGACAGCGGCGAACGGGUGCGUAACACGUGAGCAACCUGCCCCAAAGACCGGGACAACCCGAGGAAACUCGGACUAAUACCGGAUGCCCUCACCGGGUCGCAUGGUCUGGUGAGGAAAUGGAUUCCGCUUUGGGAUGGGCUCGCGGUCUAUCAGCUUGUUGGUGGGGUAACGGCCUACCAAGGCGACGACGGAUAGCUGGUCUGAGAGGACGAUCAGCCACACUGGGACUGAGACACGGCCCAGACUCCUACGGGAGGCAGCAGUGGGGAAUCUUGCGCAAUGGGGGAAACCCUGACGCAGCGACGCCGCGUGCGGGAUGAAGGCCUUGGGUUGUAACCGCUUUCAGCAGGGACGAAAUUGACGGUACCUGCAGAAGAAGGCCCGGCCAACUACGUGCCAGCAGCCGCGGU